RNAcentral lists this long non-coding RNA (209 nucleotides) under Chinchilla lanigera (long-tailed chinchilla). RNAcentral describes it as "lncRNA (ENSCLAG00000027956.1)". Lineage: Eukaryota; Metazoa; Chordata; Mammalia; Rodentia; Chinchillidae. The record is from RNAcentral.
GCGGGGAGGGGCUGGCCCCCUGCUGCAUCAGGAUCCGGCUUCCUGGUGACGGGCUGCACUUGUGGCAUGGAUGGAGAAUGGAACGUACAGGGCUGAGGAGCUGCUUUUCUCUGCAUGUGUCCUGGAUCUCCAGAAUCAACAGGUCACCACUGAUCCCCGUUUGCCCAGCUGCUGGCCAUGCCCUCAUCUCCUGCCUCACACCCCUGCCC